Molecule: ribosomal RNA, 454 nt
Filed under: uncultured organism
Description: partial 16S ribosomal RNA
Rfam family: Bacterial small subunit ribosomal RNA
Source: RNAcentral
CACUCCUACGGGAGGCAGCAGUGGGGAAUAUUGCACAAUGGGCGCAAGCCUGAUGCAGCGACGCCGCGUGGGGGAUGAAGGCCUUCGGGUUGUAAACUCCUUUCGCUAGGGACGAAGCUUUUUUGUGACGGUACCUAGAUAAGAAGCACCGGCUAACUACGUGCCAGCAGCCGCGGUAAUACGUAGGGUGCGAGCGUUGUCCGGAAUUACUGGGCGUAAAGGGCUCGUAGGUGGUUUGUCGCGUCGUCUGUGAAAUUCUGGGGCUUAACUCCGGGCGUGCAGGCGAUACGGGCAUAACUUGAGUGCUGUAGGGGUAACUGGAAUUCCUGGUGUAGCGGUGAAAUGCGCAGAUAUCAGGAGGAACACCGAUGGCGAAGGCAGGUUACUGGGCAGUUACUGACGCUGAGGAGCGAAAGCAUGGGUAGCGAACAGGAUUAGAUACCCUGGUAGUCCC